This 494-nucleotide ribosomal RNA is filed under the name uncultured bacterium. RNAcentral's name for it is "partial 16S ribosomal RNA". It matches the Rfam family "Bacterial small subunit ribosomal RNA", at positions 28 to 507 of the family's 1533-position model. The record is from RNAcentral.
GACGAACGCUGGCGGCGCGCUUAACACAUGCAAGUCGAACGGAAAGGCCUGCUUUCCCUUGUGGAUUGCGGGUACUCGAGUGGCGAACGGGUGAGUAACACGUGAGUGAUCUGCCCCCAACUUGGGUAUAAGCCUGGGAAACUGGGUCUAAUUCCCGAUAGGACUGCAGGGUGGUGCCUGUGGUGGAAAACGAUUUUCUAGUGGUUGGGGAUGAGCUCGCGGCCUAUCAGCUUGUUGGUGGGGUAAUGGCCUACCAAGGCGGCGACGGGUAGCCGGCCUGAGAGGGUGGACGGCCACAUUGGGACUGAGAUACGGCCCAGACUCCUACGGGAGGCAGCAGUGGGGAAUAUUGCACAAUGGGCGGAAGCCUGAGGCAGCGACGCCGCGUGGGGGAUGACGGCCUUCGGGUUGUAAACUCCUUUCGACCGCGAGGAAGCCACCUGGUUGGAAGGGUGGUGACGGUAGUGGUAGAAGAAGCACCGGCUAACUACGUG